Molecule: unclassified non-coding RNA, 438 nt
Filed under: Caenorhabditis elegans
Lineage: Eukaryota; Metazoa; Nematoda; Chromadorea; Rhabditida; Rhabditidae
Description: Non-coding transcript of protein-coding gene acr-17
Source: RNAcentral
GGACAAAUUGUCGGAGCUGAAGAAAAAGUUUGCCAAUGGAUUUGUGCAGUUUCAGCAAAAAUUGCUGAAAACCGACGAGCCUAAGCACAACAAGACCGCUUCGCUCAUCGAGCAAGAGUCUAUAGAUAGCUCGAAGCUUCUGGAUCCGGCAAUGUACAAUGUGGUGGUGGAUGUGUUGAGUUCUGUGCAAUCGAUUCGGCAGGAUUUGACGUCACAGGAGCAUUUGAAGAGGAUAAGAAAGGAAUGGCAGAUGCUUGCAAGAAUGCUCGAAAAAAUCAUAAUGUGGAUAUUCAUCAUUUCCACAGUCGCAUUUGCGUCCUUCAUGCUCUACGACACCCAGGAUCCGCCGAUUAUCACAAAUGAAGUUAUGCGUUCAAAAUCCACGUGAUAAGUGAAUCUCGACAUAUUCAUUAAUGUACAUAAAUAAAGUAUUGAUUC